UGAGUUACCAGUAUGUAGCCUUUGCCUUUUUUUUUUUUAAACUGGAUCUUGGGUCCUUUUGAUAGGAGUUCUUUAUGUAUUCAGAAAGCUACACCUUUAUUACUGUAAAUAUCCUCCCUAGUCUGGCUUACCUUUUAACUUUGUGCUAUCUUUAUUUUUAAUGUGGUCGAAAUUCUCCCAUUUUUUUUCUUUUAAGAUUUAUAUGUGUUUAAGAAAUUCAAGAAAGCCUUUUCUAACUUGAAAGGAGCAUGGGUUGUUGUAUGUAAGUGAUGAAACGCUAAAUUCUCUACCUGAAAAUAAAAUACACUGGGUGUUAGCUAGUAGGAAUUUAUUUAAUUUAUUACAUGUUUAUUUAACGAUUUUAUUUAUUCAUGAGAGACACGGAAAGAGAGGGAGGCAGAGACAUAGGCAGAGGGAGAAGCAGGCUCGAGCAGGACUCGAUCCCAAAUCCCGGGAUCAGGACCUGAAGGCAGAUGCUCAACCGCUGAGCCAUCCAGGCGUCCCAACCAACAGAAAUUUAAAUAGAAACUUGAAGAAAAAAAUAAGGCAUUGUUCUGUAUUUUUAAGAAAUAUUUUAAAGUCUCGUUUUUCACAUUUAGUUGUAUGCUUGAUGUUUAAUUUUGCAUAUAGAGUGAGGGAAGGAAUCUAACUUUGAAUCCCCCCUCUGCCACGUGGAUAGUUAUUCUGUGCCAUUUCUUUUCUGCUGACUGUGUGAUUAUGCAGCACAGUCAUGUAUCAGAUUCCUUUACCUGCCCAGAUGGACUUCACUGGCCCAUUUUUCUGCCUUUGUGCCACUGUCACACAGUUUUCCUUAUUAUAGCUAACAUGUUCAGAGUUCUGGUAGGAUGAGUCCUUACCUAGUGUUCUUUUUCAACAUCUUAGUGUUUAUUGUAGGAUCAGCUUGUCAGUUUCUGAGGCACUUGUCUUAAAUCUGUUUUUCUGAUACUGAAAUUUCUCCAUGAGGUUUCUUUAGGAUUUGGUAAAUAUUUUUUCAUUCCUUUCAGCUUUUUGUAUCAUUAAGGAUUAGGUUUUCUCUUUAAAAAAAGCAUAGAGGAAACUUUUUUUUUCUCCCUUAAAUACAUGCCUCUGUAAUGAUUGUGGAUUUUACCAUUUCUGCUGUAAUUAAAUCAGUAUUUGCUUAUAUUUUGAGACUGUUUUGUUAGCACCAUGUAUUCUGGUUUGGGGUUUUUAUAACUUGCUGGCAAAGUGUUUCUUUUUAUCAUUAAAUAAGGAUCCUCUGUAUCCCUCAUAAUGAUUUCAUCCCCUUUAAUCUGGUUUCCUUAAUUUAUUUUUUCUUUAAUCUGGUUCUGUUAUUACCUUGGGGUUUUGUUAGUAUUUUCCUGGUAUUCGCUUACUUACUUACUCCCCCUUACUCUCAACUUUUUUCUUUUUGGUCAUUAUAUUUCAAGUCUCUUUUGCAAACAGCAUGAAACUGUUAUUUUCUUUUAAAACCAAGUCUUGGAAUUACUGUCUUUUAAUAGAUAAGUUUUAAUGCAUGUAUAUUUUACUGUGAUUAUAAUUUCUUUUUUUAUUCUUGUUUCUUGCCAUGUAUUAAAUUGAUCUGAUUUUCCUUAUUUUCUCUUUCUUUUUCCUAAGAGUGUAUCUCUCUCUGUCUCUCUUUCUCUCUCUCUCUCUCUUUUUUAGAAAGAAGUUGUGAAUGGGCUGGCUGGGGAUAGAGGUGGAGAGAGAAAGAGAGAAUCCUAAGCUGGCUCCCCACUUAGCACUGAGCUUGUGGGUUCCAUCUCACCACCCUGAGAUCAUGACCUGAGCCAAAAUCAAGAGUCAGAUGCUUAACCCACUGAGUCACCCAGGUGCCCCCUCCUUUUCUGUUUUAGGAGUUACACAUUUUAUUUCUAUUCUUUCAGUAUAUAAUAUUCCAUCUACAUGUGUACCAUUAUUUUAUCAGUCCCUAAUGGUUGAUUUUUAAUUUUUGGUAUUAAAGUAAUGCUUCAAUUAGUAACUUGUAUGUAUGAUUAUACACAUGUGCUUGUAGUUCUAUAAUACGAAUUUUAAAAAUUUAAUUUAUUUAAAGAUUUAUUUAAUUUCAGAGAGAGCACACAUGCACAAGCAGGGAGGAGGGGGCAGAGGGAGAUAGAGGAUCUCAAGCAGACUCUGCACUUGAUCUCACAACUCUGGGAUCAUGACCUGAGCCAAAACCAAGAGUCUGACACUUAACCAACUGAGCCACCUAAUUGCUCGUAUAAUAUAAAUAGGUGAUCCUGAUGGUCAAAAAAGUAUGUGCAUUUUAAGUUUUGAUAAUAUAGAUAACAUCCUCUUAAGGAUAAAUUUAUCCAAUGAGCAGAUUUAAGGUUUCAUACAUGGUUACAAUAUGUUGAACAAAAGGGAAAAUAGAGAAGAGUUUUAGGAGGGGUUAUUGCUACGAUAUUAUUUCUAAGGGAUCUCCAAAUUGGGUGUUAUUUUUAAGCCUGCCUGUAGAGAUUAAAAGGACAAACUUUCAUAUAUAUUUUUUCAAUAAUGGAAUUUCUUAAAAUGAGUAUGGAGAUGGCCUUCUUGAUCUGAGGAAUUUAGGGAAAAAAGCCAAAUUGAUGCUUGAGCUGUCUGUAAUGAGUCCAUACAGGUCAACUAGAAAAACAGUCCCUUUAGUCAAGACAUACAUAUGCCAGGUACAGGUAGUCUCCGACAUCAGAACAAGCUGUAUUUUCAGUCAGUGGAGACUUGAAUACAUUUCCCCAUUCCACGUAAGUAACUGUGCAAGGCCCUGAGCUGAGUGGGAUACAGACAAGUAUAAAAUGGUAUUUCUUUCCCAUAUGAGCUUAUGAUCUAGAAAAGAGGACAAGACAUACACAGAUAGGAAACGUGGGGUACAAGCUUGAAGCACUUUUAUAGGAGAGCUACAAAGCGUACUUUGGGAGAACAGAGGAGAAAGAUCACUCUGGGUGCAGGCCUUUCCAGCUUUUCCUAUGUGCUAGGCACAGGCCAAAGGAUCAGAAAUUGUUGAGCUGUCAGAAUUUGGGAAAGGAUGAGAUUUUCCUAAGUGGAGACUGGAUAUCCUGAUUGGUGAAGCUUUGGCAGCACAGGAUGAGUGAGGAUGGCAGUGACAUUUUGUGGUUGUUUCAUCAGUCAAUCUACUCUUUCCAAGACAGCAACUGGCACCUGAUCCCCUCACUGACCUUCCCUAAUGACUGCUCUAAGCAGCAGCUGAUAGUUUGGGCAUGGCUAGUCCAAGGUUAUUCAUGUUUUUGGUGGGGAAGGAUAAUAGGCCCUGAAAUGUAAUGGCUGACACCUCAUCACUCAACCCAUGCAGCAGAACCUGUCAAGGACCUGGCACCUCAUCACUCAACCCAUGCAGCAGAACCUGUCCUUACACAGAAUAAACAGUGUGUGAACAGUCAACAGAAUUGCAUCUGUAUGUUGCAGGAUUUCUGUUGGGCGUCAUUCCUAGUUGCCAUGUCAUCAGUAGUGCUGGGUAUAAACCACUGUUUCUCAGAGUUGGCUUGUGAACCAUUUGCUUCUGGAUCACUUGGUUAGCCUGGUAAGAGGGUAGGUUCCUGAGCUUCACUACAGAAUCAGAAGCUCUGCACACGGAGCCUGGAAGCCUCCACCUGGACAUGUUUCCAAAGUAAGAAUUACUGCACUAGCUCUUCAGUAAAUGUAGAAUUUUUCAGUCAUUUGUUUGCUGUAAUGACCUUUUAUUUACUAAAAAUCACCCCUUGGAGCCCAUGGGCAUAGCGUGAAAUGUUCAUUAUAUUUAAACUUGCUUUUACAAUUGGACUUGGAAUAAUAAUGGUGUAAUUAAAUCAAUAAACAUUUGAAUAUGACAUAAAUCUGCAAGACGGUGGAUUGAGCCUCAAGGAUACACUUCUUCUAGUGCAGUCAUUUACACACCACAAUAAAUUAUGAGGCAGUGUGUUCAGACUAGCACUGCAAAGAACAGUGGAAGAAUGAUAUUUGAUAAAUCUAUCUAAAACAAAUCCAUUACUUGAGCGGUUAGGAAUAUAUGUGUUAACCAGGUGCAGACUAAUACUGGAAUACUUAGAUCCGUUAUAAUAGUAGAAGAAAGCCCCAGACCCUUUAUGUGUACAUUAUUUCCUUAUCCCUACUGCCAGGAAAGAAUUUGAAGUCCAAAGUGCAAAGCUGAACUCUUGUACCAGUUUUUUGUUGUUGUUUUCAUUGUUUUCUCGUCAAUAUUACCUGAAAACCACCUAAUGGGUCAGCUUUUUUUUUUUUUUUUUUUUUUUUGAGUGCUUCCAAUUUACUAAUUUUUUUUCAAGCUUUUUUGCCUCUUCAGAAAUUUUCCCCAAAUUUCUUUGACAAAAGUACUGGUCAUCUCUUUAUUUUUGGAAAAAUUCUAAUACUCCAUGUUUUCUAUAUAUCCUUCAAUCCCUUGACUUUGUUUUCUUUACCCCCUCUUUAAUUUUUUAGCUCCUGAGUCUUACUGGUGACAGUGAAUAGUCUCUAAUUCAGCAGGUUUCUGGGGAAGUGGGUCAGAUCCUAGGCA
This 4459-nucleotide long non-coding RNA is filed under the name Canis lupus familiaris (dog). RNAcentral's name for it is "lncRNA (ENSCAFG00805014959.1, ENSCAFG00845014726.1)". Lineage: Eukaryota; Metazoa; Chordata; Mammalia; Carnivora; Canidae. The record is from RNAcentral.